AGCAGUAGCCACGGGAAUACGAAGGGGGCUAGCGUUGUUCGGAAUCACUGGGCGUAAAGCGCACGUAGGCGGACAUUUAAGUCAGGGGUGAAAGCCUGGAGCUCAACUCCAGAACUGCCCUUGAUACUGGGUGUCUCGAGUCCGGAAGAGGUAAGUGGAACUGCGAGUGUAGAGGUGAAAUUCGUAGAUAUUCGCAAGAACACCAGUGGCGAAGGCGGCUUACUGGUCCGGUACUGACGCUGAGGUGCGAAAGCGUGGGGAGCAAACAGGAUUAGAUACCCCGGUAGUCCCUGUCUCUUAUAC
This 303-nucleotide ribosomal RNA is filed under the name uncultured bacterium. Its description in RNAcentral is "partial 16S ribosomal RNA". It matches the Rfam family "Bacterial small subunit ribosomal RNA", at positions 507 to 807 of the family's 1533-position model. The record is from RNAcentral.